Molecule: ribosomal RNA, 332 nt
Filed under: Srilankametrus serratus
Lineage: Eukaryota; Metazoa; Arthropoda; Arachnida; Scorpiones; Scorpionidae
Description: Heterometrus serratus partial small subunit ribosomal RNA
Source: RNAcentral
UAACAUAUUAUAAAUUAGGUAGUAACGGUGUUUCUGAAACCUAAAGAACUUGGCGGUAUUUUAAAUAAUUGGAGGAACUUGUUAUUUAAUUGAAAUUCCUCAAUACAUCUUUCCUCAUUUUUGUUUGUAUAUCGUUGUUUUAAGACAACACUUGAAAGUGAAGUCAGGAUUAAGAGUUUUUACUAAAUCAAAUCAAGGUGCAGCAUAGUGGGGUUAUAGUGAGUUACAAUAUAUCUUAUAUAAACGGAAAAAAGCAUGAAAAAUUGAAAGAAGGUGGAUUCAAAAGUUAUAGAAAAUUAAAAAGUUUUUAUGAAUAAUAAUUUAAAAUAUGC